This 1062-nucleotide ribosomal RNA is filed under the name Staphylococcus aureus. RNAcentral describes it as "partial 23S ribosomal RNA". It matches the Rfam family "Bacterial large subunit ribosomal RNA", at positions 1 to 1058 of the family's 2925-position model. Lineage: Bacteria; Bacillati; Bacillota; Bacilli; Caryophanales; Staphylococcaceae. The record is from RNAcentral.
AGAUUAAGUUAUUAAGGGCGCACGGUGGAUGCCUUGGCACUAGAAGCCGAUGAAGGACGUUACUAACGACGAUAUGCUUUGGGGAGCUGUAAGUAAGCUUUGAUCCAGAGAUUUCCGAAUGGGGAAACCCAGCAUGAGUUAUGUCAUGUUAUCGAUAUGUGAAUACAUAGCAUAUCAGAAGGCACACCCGGAGAACUGAAACAUCUUAGUACCCGGAGGAAGAGAAAGAAAAUUCGAUUCCCUUAGUAGCGGCGAGCGAAACGGGAAGAGCCCAAACCAACAAGCUUGCUUGUUGGGGUUGUAGGACACUCUAUACGGAGUUACAAAGGACGACAUUAGACGAAUCAUCUGGAAAGAUGAAUCAAAGAAGGUAAUAAUCCUGUAGUCGAAAAUGUUGUCUCUCUUGAGUGAAUCCUGAGUACGACGGAGCACGUGAAAUUCCGUCGGAAUCUGGGAGGACCAUCUCCUAAGGCUAAAUACUCUCUAGUGACCGAUAGUGAACCAGUACCGUGAGGGAAAGGUGAAAAGCACCCCGGAAGGGGAGUGAAAUAGAACCUGAAACCGUGUGCUUACAAGUAGUCAGAGCCCGUUAAUGGGUGAUGGCGUGCCUUUUGUAGAAUGAACCGGCGAGUUACGAUUUGAUGCAAGGUUAAGCAGUAAAUGUGGAGCCGUAGCGAAAGCGAGUCUGAAUAGGGCGUUUAGUAUUUGGUCGUAGACCCGAAACCAGGUGAUCUACCCUUGGUCAGGUUGAAGUUCAGGUAACACUGAAUGGAGGACCGAACCGACUUACGUUGAAAAGUGAGCGGAUGAACUGAGGGUAGCGGAGAAAUUCCAAUCGAACCUGGAGAUAGCUGGUUCUCUCCGAAAUAGCUUUAGGGCUAGCCUCAAGUGAUGAUUAUUGGAGGUAGAGCACUGUUUGGACGAGGGGCCCCUCUCGGGUUACCGAAUUCAGACAAACUCCGAAUGCCAAUUAAUUUAACUUGGGAGUCAGAACAUGGGUGAUAAGGUCCGUGUUCGAAAGGGAAACAGCCCAGACCACCAGCUAAGGUCCCAAAAUAUAUG